RNAcentral lists this ribosomal RNA (236 nucleotides) under uncultured bacterium. RNAcentral describes it as "partial 16S ribosomal RNA". It matches the Rfam family "Bacterial small subunit ribosomal RNA", at positions 102 to 334 of the family's 1533-position model. The record is from RNAcentral.
CCGACGGGUGAGUAACACGUAUGCAAUCCACCUGUAACAGGGGAGUAACCGGAGAAAUCCGACUAAUACCCAUAAUAUGGGCGCUCCGCAUGGAGAGUCCAUUAAAGAGAGCAAUCUUGGUUACAGACGAGCAUGCGCUCCAUUAGCCAGUUGGCGGGGUAACGGCCCACCAAGGCGACGAUGGAUAGGGGUUCUGAGAGGAAGGUCCCCCACAUUGGAACUGAGACACGGUCCAA